CCUACGGGAGGCAGCAGUAAGGAAUAUUGGUCAAUGGACGCAAGUCUGAACCAGCCAUGCCGCGUGAAGGAUGAAGGCCCUCUGGGUUGUAAACUUCUUUUACAGGGGACGAAAAAAGGGAAUUCUUUCUCACUUGACGGUACCCUGGGAAUAAGCACCGGCUAACUCCGUGCCAGCAGCCGCGGUAAUACGGAGGGUGCAAGCGUUAUCCGGAUUCACUGGGUUUAAAGGGUGCGUAGGUGGGCAUUUAAGUCAGUGGUGAAAUCUCCGGGCUUAACCCGGAAACUGCCAUUGAUACUAUUUGUCUUGAAUAUUGUGGAGGUAAGCGGAAUAUGUCAUGUAGCGGUGAAAUGCUUAGAUAUGACAUAGAACACCCAUUGCGAAGGCAGCUUACUACGCAAAUAUUGACACUGAGGCACGAAAGCGUGGGGAUCAAACAGGAUUAGAUACCCUGGUAGUCCACGCCCUAAACGAUGGAUACUCGACAUCAGCGAUACACAGUUGGUGUCUGAGCGAAAGCAUUAAGUAUCCCACCUGGGAAGUACGACCGCAAGGUUGAAACUCAAAUGAAUUGACG
Molecule: ribosomal RNA, 577 nt
Filed under: uncultured bacterium
Lineage: Bacteria
Description: bacterial SSU rRNA
Rfam family: Bacterial small subunit ribosomal RNA
Source: RNAcentral